ACUCCUACGGGAGGCAGCAGUAAGGAAUAUUGGACAAUGGUGGCAACACUGAUCCAGCCAUGCCGCGUGAAGGAUGAAGGUGCUAUGCAUUGUAAACUUCUUUUGUACGGGAAAAAACCCCUGAACGUGCUUCGGGGCUGAUUGUACCGUAAGAAUAAGGGUCGGCUAACUUCGUGCCAGCAGCCGCGGUAAGACGAAGGACCCGAGCGUUAUCCGGAUUCAUUGGGUUUAAAGGGUGCGUAGGCGGACUAAUAAGUCAGUGGUGAAAUCCCCAGGCUCAACUUGGGAACUGCCAUUGAUACUGUUGGUCUUGAAUACAGCUGAUGUGGGCGGAAUAUGACAUGUAGCGGUGAAAUGCUUAGAUAUGUCAUAGAACACCGAUUGCGAAGGCAGCUCACAAAACUGUUAUUGACGCUGAGGCACGAAAGCGUGGGGAUCAAACAGGAUUAGAUACCCUGGUAGUCCACGCCGUAAACGUUGAUUACUCGUUGUUAGCGAUAUACUGUUAGCGACUAAGCGAAAGCGUUAAGUAAUCCACCUGGGGAGUACGAUCGCAAGAUUGAAACUUAAAGGAAUUGACG
RNAcentral lists this ribosomal RNA (581 nucleotides) under uncultured Sphingobacteriia bacterium. RNAcentral's name for it is "bacterial SSU rRNA". It matches the Rfam family "Bacterial small subunit ribosomal RNA", at positions 335 to 915 of the family's 1533-position model. The record is from RNAcentral. Lineage: Bacteria; Pseudomonadati; Bacteroidota; Sphingobacteriia.